This 842-nucleotide long non-coding RNA is filed under the name Ananas comosus (pineapple). RNAcentral describes it as "long non-coding RNA (ACOM_LNC031190)". The record is from RNAcentral. Lineage: Eukaryota; Viridiplantae; Streptophyta; Magnoliopsida; Poales; Bromeliaceae.
UUUUAUAGAUAAUUGUUUAUAUACCUCUCAAAAUUUUUGAAAUAUCUUAUUUAUUCAUUUAUUUAUUUUGUUUCAAGUAUACCCUCUAUAUAUUUUUCUGUUAUUCAAAAAUCCUGCUGCUUUUAAUGUCCGUUUAGUUAUCUCGGGUUAAACUGGAGUUAAAAUUUCUAUCAUAGUUAAAUAUGGUAAAAAUACCUAUUUUGUCCCUAACUUGAGAGAAAAGUUGGUGGCGGUAGAAGAGUAUAUUUGAAAAGACAAAAAAUUAAAAAACUUCAUUUGCUCCUAAUUUAAGGGUAAAUAAAAUAAAUUGGUGAUGGUAGAAGGUAUAUUUAAAAGGGCAAAAUAGUAAUUUUAUAGAGAUAAGGGUGUGUUUAAAAGACUUUGGAAUUUUAAAAGGGUAUUAUUAAUAUUAGCCUUAUAAGAGAGAUAAAAAAGAAAAUAAGAAACUUUUCGGGAAUAUAUAAGCAAUUGCCUUUUUUUUUUAGGGUAAACUUCAAAUAUUACCCUUGUGGUUUUGCACUUUCUUACUUUAAUACCCUGUGAUUUAAAGUGUAUCAAAUUAGUGUCCUGUGGUUUUAUUUUUAUCUGUUCGUCAGCUUUUCCGUUAAUAUUUUGUUAAAUUAUCUAUAAAAAAGUUCAAAUAUCUCACCUAGGUUUAUCGAAUAUUCACUUUAGUACCUUUUAGUUGUAAUUUUAUCACUAAUUUAAAGAAAAAAAUUAGUCAAAUUGAUAAUAAAAAAAUAAAAAGAAAACCAUAGGAUACUAAAAUUGAUACACUUAAAAUUACGGGGCACUAAAGUGAAAAAGUAUAAAACCACUGGUGUGGUAUUUGAAGGGUUUUU